GCUGGCCAAAUCCUAAACCAACGACCUUUGGGACUGACUUUGUGAACCGGGAAGCGACGAGCCAGUUCACAGACUGCAAGGCUUCGCCCUGAGGCGGGUGGAAGUCUCUCCGGACCCGGGGCCGUAGGAGACUCGGGUUUCGGCUACUCCUGCCUGCAGCCCUCUGUGGGGAGCAGUCCGUGUACUUCAGGCUACGCCCCGCGCCUCCUCAUUGGCUCCUCCAGGCACGUGGUCGGGUGGUCCCGCCUCCGGGUGGCCUGAGAGGCGGCACGAGGGGCCGCAUGGACUGCUUGGCGCCGGGCCGAUGGAGGCGACGGAGGAUGGAGGAGCUGCCAGCGGCGGGGGACGCGAAACGGGCGUGCAGGAGGUCAGAAGCUGGUGGGCAUGAGUGCACUGGCCACAUGCUAAGCACCUGUGCCCUGGUGUCCUGGAGUACAGAGGACCAGGAGCCACGGUCACGAGGCCCACCUGCACCACGACCAGACUGUAGCCAGGAGAGUCUGAGCUCAGUGACGCUGCACAACGGUGGAAGGAGUUCGGCCCAGCCUUGCCUGAGAUGUCUUGCGGGGGAAUCUAACUGUUGUCCUGGACUAUGAAAGACCUUGAGGACCACAGGACCUUAUUUCUAAAUGGAUACUUCUCCUGCUCAUCAUUCUUCCAGGAUUGUGGGACCAUGACCUGUGUUUUCUUCCGUAAUAGUGGCCAUUUUAACCAUACCGGAAAUCAUUAGAAGAUGCAAAUGGGAAGAUGGAAGAUUCCAGUUCUGAAUCCUUGUGUGAUUGAUGGCCAGUGCAAAUCCCUUACAGCUGGCCUGGGUGCCCAUGUGUUCAGAUGGCAGCCAGGGCUCCCUGCAGGGGCUGUUUGCCUCUCAGGUAAUCCCACUCUCCUCUGCAGAAGGCCAGGAACAUCCUAAGUAUGUUGGCUCAUUGCAGCCUAUUGUCUAAUGUCCUCUGCUGGACAGGAAAUUUUCUAGAAGUCAACAAAUUUUGUGUCAGACUUCCUAGAUGUUCCAGAGCCUCAUAACUCAUGUAAUCAAAAGGCUCAGCCAGAGAUCUCACUGCCUGUAGACUUUGGGGUUGUUUCUGGACAUAACCAGGGCUGCUCACACACUCUUUUUAAUUAAAAGACUUAUUUCUAUAUUUAAAAUGCUCUAUAA
This is an RNA transcript of Meriones unguiculatus (Mongolian gerbil), 1156 nucleotides long. It is a transcript of the gene named chromosome 1 C10orf143 homolog, with no coding region annotated. The record is from RefSeq and is a predicted model, not a curated record. Lineage: Eukaryota; Metazoa; Chordata; Mammalia; Rodentia; Muridae. The transcript has 5 exons.